RNAcentral lists this ribosomal RNA (589 nucleotides) under uncultured bacterium. RNAcentral's name for it is "partial 16S ribosomal RNA". It matches the Rfam family "Bacterial small subunit ribosomal RNA", at positions 355 to 1376 of the family's 1533-position model. The record is from RNAcentral.
UGGGGAAUUUUGGACAAUGGGCGCAAGCCUGAUCCAGCCAUGCCGCGUGCGGGAAGAAGGCCUUCGGGUUGUAAACCGCUUUUGUCAGGGAAGAAAUCUUCUGAGUUAAUACCUCGGGAGGAUGACGGUACCUGAAGAAUAAGCACCGGCUAACUACGUGCCAGCAGCCGCGGUAAUACGUAGGGUGCAAGCGUUAAUCGGAAUUACUGGGCGUAAAGCGUGCGCAGGCGGUUUUGUAAGGCAGAGGUGAAAUCCCCGGGCUCAACCUGGGAACUGCCUUUGUGACUGCAAGGCUUGAGUGCGGCAGAGGGGGGAUGGAAUUCCGCGUGUAGCAGUGAAAUGCGUAGAUAUGCGGAGGAACACCGAUGGCGAAGGCAAAUCCCCCUGGGCCUGCACUGACGCUCAUGCACGAAAGCGUGGGGAGCAAACAGGAUUAGAUACCCUGGUAGUCCACGCCCUAAACGAUGUCAACUGGUUGUUGGGAAGGUUCCUUCUCAGUAACGUAGCUAACGCGUGAAGUUGACCGCCUGGGGAGUACGGCCGCAAGGUUGAAACUUAAAUGAAUUGACGGGGUCAUAGCUGUUUCCUG